GAUGAACGCUGGCGGCGUGCCUAAUACAUGCAAGUCGAGCGAACAGACGAGGAGCUUGCUCCUCUGACGUUAGCGGCGGACGGGUGAGUAACACGUGGAUAACCUACCUAUAAGACUGGGAUAACUUCGGGAAACCGGAGCUAAUACCGGAUAAUAUAUUGAACCGCAUGGUUCAAUAGUGAAAGACGGUUUUGCUGUCACUUAUAGAUGGAUCCGCGCCGCAUUAGCUAGUUGGUAAGGUAACGGCUUACCAAGGCAACGAUGCGUAGCCGACCUGAGAGGGUGAUCGGCCACACUGGAACUGAGACACGGUCCAGGCUCCUACGGGAGGCAGCAGUAGGGAAUCUUCCGCAAUGGGCGAAAGCCUGACGGAGCAACGCCGCGUGAGUGAUGAAGGUCUUCGGAUCGUAAAACUCUGUUAUUAGGGAAGAACAAAUGUGUAAGUAACUAUGCACGUCUUGACGGUACCUAAGCAGAAAGCCACGGCUAACUACGU
RNAcentral lists this ribosomal RNA (496 nucleotides) under uncultured bacterium. RNAcentral describes it as "partial 16S ribosomal RNA". It matches the Rfam family "Bacterial small subunit ribosomal RNA", at positions 28 to 506 of the family's 1533-position model. The record is from RNAcentral.